Molecule: ribosomal RNA, 551 nt
Filed under: Quasispermophorella ingwa
Lineage: Eukaryota; Metazoa; Arthropoda; Insecta; Neuroptera; Berothidae
Description: partial 16S ribosomal RNA
Rfam family: Bacterial large subunit ribosomal RNA
Source: RNAcentral
UGUUUAUCAAAAACAUGUCUUUAUGAAAAUAAUAUAAAGUCUAACCUGCCCACUGAAAUUUUAUUUAAAGGGCCGCGGUAUUUUGACUGUGCAAAGGUAGCAUAAUCAUUUGUCUUUUAAUUGAAGGCUGGAAUGAAUGGUUGAAUGAAGUAUUAACUGUCUCAUUUUAAUAAAUGUAAAAAUUUAAUUUUUUAGUCAAAAAGCUAAAAUUUAAUUGAAGGACGAGAAGACCCUAUAAAUCUUUAUUUUAUAUUAUUAAAUUAAAUUUUAGAUAAAAAUUAUUUAUUAUAAUAUAUAAAAUUUUAUUGGGGUGAUAGGAAAAUUUAAUAAACUUUUUUUAUUUUAACUAUUGAUUUAUAAAUAUUUGAUCCAAUAUUGUUGAUUAAAAGAUUAAGAUACUUUAGGGAUAACAGCGUAAUUUUUUUAGAGAGUUCUUAUCGAUAAAAAAGAUUGCGACCUCGAUGUUGAAUUAAAGAUUAAUAUUAAAUGUAGAAGUUUAAAUAUUAGGUCUGUUCGACCUUUAAAUCUUUCAUGAUCUGAGUUCAAACCGG